GAUGAACGCUAGCGGCAGGCCUAAUACAUGCAAGUCGAGGGGCAGCACAAGUAGCAAUACUGGGUGGCGACCGGCGCACGGGUGCGUAACACGUAUACAAUCUGCCCAUAUCAGGAGAAUAGCCCGGAGAAAUUCGGAUUAAUGCUCCAUAACAUAAUGAAUUGGCAUCAGUUUAUUAUUAAAGUUCCGACGGAUAUGGAUGAGUAUGCGGAUGAUUAGCUAGUUGGUAGUGUAAUGGACUACCAAGGCAACGAUCAAUAGGGGUACUGAGAGGUUAAACCCCCACACUGGUACUGAGACACGGACCAGACUCCUACGGGAGGCAGCAGUAAGGAAUAUUGGACAAUGGUGGCAACACUGAUCCAGCCAUGCCGCGUGCAGGAUGAAGGCGCUACGCGUUGUAAACUGCUUUUGUACGGGAGAAAACCUAUCUACGUGUAGAUAGCUGAUAGUACCGUAAGAAUAAGCAUCGGCUAACUUCGUGCCAGCAGCCGCGGUAAUACGAAGGAUGCAAGCGUUAUCCGGAUUUAUUGGGUUUAAAGGGUGCGUAGGCGGACUUAUAAGUCAGUGGUGAAAUCUCGAUGCUUAACAUCGAACGUGCCAUUGAUACUGUAG
Molecule: ribosomal RNA, 615 nt
Filed under: uncultured bacterium
Lineage: Bacteria
Description: bacterial SSU rRNA
Rfam family: Bacterial small subunit ribosomal RNA
Source: RNAcentral